AUGACCCCAGGUCAGGCGGGACUACCAUCUGAGUUUAAGCAUAUAAAUAAGCGGAGGAGAAGAAACUUACAAGGAUUCCCCUAGUAAUGGCGAGCGAACCGGGAACAGCCCAGAUUGAGAAUCGGGCGGUUGUGCCGUCCGAAUUGUAGUAUGGAGAGGCGUCCUCAGCGACGGACUGGGCCCAAGUCCCGUGGAAAAGGACGCCUCGGAGGGUGGGAGCCCCGUCCGGCCCGGACCGUGUCACCCCAUGGCUAAAUACAGGCAAGAGACCGAUAGCGAACAAGUACCGCGAGGGAAAUAUGAGAAGGACUUUGAAAAGAGAGUCAAAGAGUGCUUGAAAUUGCCGGGAGGGAAGCGGAUGGGGGCUGGCGAUGCGCCCCGGCCGUAUGCGGGACGGCUCUUGCUGGUCUGCAGCUCACCUCGGGGUGUGGACUGUUGUCGGCCGCAUCGGCGGCCAAAUCCCGGGGGCCCUAGGUGCCUCCUGUUGCCGUCGUCGACACGGCCGGUACCCGCGCGCCGAAAGGCAUGUCCCUCGGGGCACUGCGCUGCAGCGGCCUGCGGGCUCGCCAUCCGACCCGUCUUGAAACACGGACCAAGGAGUCUGACAUGCGUGCUAGUCGACGGGUUCUGAAACCUGGGAUGCACAAGGAAGCUGAUGAGCGGGAGGCCCUCACGGGCCAUAUCGCUGGCCGACCCUGAUCUUCUGUGAAGGGUUCGAGUUGGAGCACCCCUGCUGGGACACGAAAGAUGGUGCACUAUGCCUGAGCGGGGCGAAGCCAGAGGAAACUCUGGUGGAGGCUCAAAGCCAUACUGACGUGCAAAUCGUUCGUCUGACUUGGGUAUAGGGGCGAAAGACUAAUCGAACCAUCUAGUAGCAGGUUCCCUCUGAAGUUUUCCUCAGGAUAGCUGGAGCCCAUUACGAGUUCUAUCAGGUAAAGCCAAUGAUUAGAGGCAUUGGGGACGCAAGGCCCUCGACCUAUUCUCAAACGUUAAAUAGGUAGGAUGGCUCGGCUGCUUCGGUGAGCCGUGCCACGGAGUCGGGUGCUCCAAGUGGGCCAUUUUUGGUAAGCAGAACUGGCGAUGCGGGAUGAACCGGAAGUCGGGUUACGGUGCCCAACUCCACGCUAACCUAGAACCACAAAGGGUGUUGGUCGAUUUAGACAGCAGGACGGUGGUCAUGGAAGUUAAAAUCCGCUAAGGAGUGUGUAACAACUCACCUGCCGAAUCAACUAGCCCCGAAAAUGGAUGGCGCUGAAGCGCGCGACCCACACCCGACCAUCUGGGCGAGCGCCAUGCCCCGAUGACUAGGAGAGCGCGGCGGCCGCUACAAAACCCAGGGCGCGAGCCCGGGCGGAGCGGCCGUCGGUGCAGAUCUUGGUGGUAGUUGAAAAUAUUCAAAAGAGAACUUUUAAGGCCAAAGAGGAGAAAGGGUCCAUGUGAACGGCACUUGCACAUGGGUAAGCCGAUCCUAACGGACGGGGUAACCCCGGCAGAUAGCACGAUCACGCGCAUCCCUCGAAAGGGAAUCGGGUUAAGAUUGCUUGAGCCGGGAUGUGGCGGUUGACGACGACGUUAGGAAGUUUGGAGACGUCGGCGGGUGCCUCGGGAAGAGUUAUCGUUUCUACUUGACGGCCUUCCAACCUAUGAAAUGGUUCAGCCGGAGGUAUUGUCCAGUGGCCGGAAGAGCACCGCACGACGCGCGGUGUCUGGUUUGCCCCCGGCGGCCCAUCAAAAUACGGAGGACCGAGUACCGUUCACGCCCGGUCGUACUCAUAAUCGCAUCAGGUCUCGAAGGUGAAUAGACUCUCGCCAAUGGAACAAUGUAGGCAUUGGAAGUCCGCAAAAUGGAUCCGUAACUUCGAGAAAAGGAUUGGCUCUCAGGACUGGGCACGGGGGUCCCGGCCCCGAACCCGUCGGCUGUCGGCGAAUUGCUCGAGGUGCUCACGCGGCAAGAGCGGGACGUCGCAUGCCGGCCGGGGAACGGACUGGGAAUCGCCCCUUCGGACGCUUUUCCCGAGCAUGAAACAGUCGACUCAAAACUAGUAUGGACAAGGGGAAUCAGACUAUUCAAUUAAAACAAAGCAUUGUGAUGGUCCUCGCGGAUGCUGACGCAAUGUGAUUUCUGCCUAGUGCUCUGAAUGUCAAAGUGAAGAAAUUCAACCAAGUGCGGGUAAACGGUGGUAGUAACUAUGAAUCUCUUAAGGUAGCCAAAUGCCUCAUGAUCUAAUUAGUGACGUGCAUGAAUGGAUUAACGAGAUUCCCACUGUCCCUAUCAACUAUACAGCUAAACCACAACCAAGGGAACGGUCUUGGCGGAAUCAGCGGGGAAAGAAGACCCGGUUGAGCUUGACUCUAGUCCGACUUUGUGAAAUGACUUUAGAGGUGUAGGAUAAGUGGGAGCCCUUACGGGUGCAAGUGAAAUACCACUACUUUUAACGUUAUUUUACUUAUUCCGUGGGUCAGAAGCGGGUCAUGUCCCCUCCUUUUGGCUGCAAGGCGCAGUUUUAUCGGGCUGAUCCGGGCGAAAGACAUUGUCAGGUGGGGAGUUUGGCUGGGACGACACAUCUGUUAAAAGAUAACGCAGGUGCCCUACCGAUCCUUUGAUUCUGAUUCUGAUUUCGAAAAGCUCAACAAGAACAUAAAUCUCGUGUGGAACAAAAGGGUAAAAGCUCGUUUGAUUCUGAUUUCCAAUACGAAUACAAACCGUGAAAGUGUGGCCUACCGAUCCUUUAGAUCUUCGAAGUUUGAAGCUAGAGGUGUUAGAAAAGUUACCACAGGGAUAACUGGCUUGUGGCAGCCAAGCGUUCAUAGCGACGUUGCUUUUUCAUCCUUCGAUGUCGGCUUUUCCUAUCAUUGUGAAGCAGAAUUCACCAAGUGUUGGAUUGUUCACCCACCAAUAGGGAAUGUGAGUUGGGUUUAGACCAUUGUGAGACAUGUUAUUUUUACCCUACUGAUGACAGUGACGCGAUAGUAAUUCAACCUGGUACGAGAGGAACCAUUGAUUCACACAAUUGGUCAUCGCGCUUGGUUGAAAAGCCACUGGCGCGAAGCUACCAUGUGCCGGAUUAUGACUGAGCGCCUCUAAGUCAGAAUCCAAGCUAGCAUGCGACGCGUGCGCCAGCCGCUCGCCCUAACCCACGUUAGGGGUGCUUGCACCCCCAAGGGCCCGUGCCAUUGGCAAGCCGGUCCAGCCGACGUGUCAUGAUCGGCCGCCUUGAAGCU
Molecule: ribosomal RNA, 3222 nt
Filed under: Hordeum vulgare
Lineage: Eukaryota; Viridiplantae; Streptophyta; Magnoliopsida; Poales; Poaceae
Description: eukaryotic LSU rRNA
Rfam family: Eukaryotic large subunit ribosomal RNA
Source: RNAcentral